UCCAUUGUCGAUCCUUAUGAGAUCGCCUUGCUCUAGAGACCAUAAGUAUCUCGUGGCCCGCGUCCCUUAAACCCUCAACCCCGAGAGCCUUUCAGGCCUUCACCACCACCAAGAGAGCAGAGCGAAGAGCAGAGAAAACGAGAGUUCCGCGUCCUUCGACGAAAGUGUGGCCACGGUCGUCGGUGGGCCCUUUGGAUGGGCCAGGGUGCAUCAACAAAGGGUGUCGCGUGCAAUAGUGGCGCUGGUAGGGAAAGGAUACCAGCGGAGCCGUGGAUUCCUUGUCAUUGUUCGAUCAUCACCGUCGUCGGGGAAAUCUCGCAUAUAUCCUCGAUCAGGGCGCAUAGUGUGGCUUCAUAGCAUCACCGAGGCAUCGUGGAGUCGAUCAUGACGGUGGGUGGCACAGAGGAUCGCCAAGUAGAUGGGAAUUCCUCGUGGGGGCUUUUCCUUCGUCGCAGCGUCACCUCGUGACGUGGUCGGGGGCCCUGGCUACAAAAUCACGGAAGCAAGAUUAUGAGGAAUCUGAAGCCCAACUUUGGGAAAGCACCUGAGGAGUUGGAUUCACAAGUAAAAGAGGAGCCAGUAGCUGAGGAUCCUGGUGACCAGCAGAUAGAAGUUGUUGAGCAGGAGCUCAUUGAAGGCAAGUUGUGCCCUUGAUCACUUAUUUUUACCCAGUCAUGUUCUUAUUAAUCAUAAUGAUCUGCAUAGGUUAAUUUUGAUGGGACCCAAUAGGCCACCCUAGUCUGUUUAUACUUUUUACCUUGUUUACCCCUGAAUCACUUGGGUAGUUUUGCUACUGCUUUAUAUGGUUUUUGGUUCAAUAGUUCAUUACAUCUAUGUUCCAAUUAUGCUGUUAUGUUAUUUAUGUUCAUGAUAAGAUCAUUAUGUUAAUGAGAGCAUGGAGAACCACUCGAGAAAACGUGCCACCACAAGGAAGAAAUGGGACCCCUUGGCUAACUAAUUAGGAAAGCUAGUGGAAGACUACCUUACCCGAAAGGGGCAAGGGCAGUAGGGGAGUUGCAUGCAGGGAGGUUCUCGGGUUGAUUUUGCUGCGAUGGCGGUCAGACAGGGGAUUCUUGCAAAUGCUCUUCCCAUAAACUGUAGCGGGUUUUCUGAAGCUAGUGGAACUUUGUAAAGGCCUCAUAGUGUUACCCUGCCUCGCCUCCUCAGUAGAGGUGUAUGAGAUUGGCCGUCUCUUGGCAGAUGGGUAACAUG
Molecule: long non-coding RNA, 1212 nt
Organism: Zea mays
Lineage: Eukaryota; Viridiplantae; Streptophyta; Magnoliopsida; Poales; Poaceae
Exons: 3
Source: RefSeq, a predicted model, not a curated record